GGCUCUGUAGUGAAGUUCAUGGUGAGUUGCAAGCUCAUCGAUGUGUAUUAAUUAUGCACCGGGGCCU
This 67-nucleotide transfer RNA is filed under the name Euphagus cyanocephalus (Brewer's blackbird). RNAcentral's name for it is "tRNA-Cys". Lineage: Eukaryota; Metazoa; Chordata; Aves; Passeriformes; Icteridae. The record is from RNAcentral.